GUGGGGAAUCUUGCGCAAUGGGCGAAAGCCUGACGCAGCCAUGCCGCGUGAAUGAUGAAGGUCUUAGGAUUGUAAAAUUCUUUCACCGGGGACGAUAAUGACGGUACCCGGAGAAGAAGCUCCGGCUAACUUCGUGCCAGCAGCCGCGGUAAUACGAAGGGGGCUAGAGUUGUUCGGAAUUACUGGGCGUAAAGGGCGCGUAGGCGGACAGCUUAGUCAGAGGUGUAAGCCCAGGGCUCAACCUUGGAAUUGCCUUUGAUACUGGCUGUCUUGAGUUUGGGAUAGGUGAGUGGAACUCCGAGUGUAGAGGUGAAAUUCGUAGAUAUUCGGAAGCACACCAGUGGCGAAGGCGACUCACUGGCCCAAUACUGACGCUGAGGCGCGAAAGCGUGGGGAGCAAACAGGAUUAGAUACCCUGGUAGUCC
Molecule: ribosomal RNA, 425 nt
Filed under: uncultured bacterium
Lineage: Bacteria
Description: partial 16S ribosomal RNA
Rfam family: Bacterial small subunit ribosomal RNA
Source: RNAcentral